RNAcentral lists this microRNA (21 nucleotides) under Monodelphis domestica (gray short-tailed opossum). RNAcentral describes it as "mdo-miR-7398v-3p". Lineage: Eukaryota; Metazoa; Chordata; Mammalia; Didelphimorphia; Didelphidae. The record is from miRBase by way of RNAcentral.
UAAAUCCUUACCUCUCGCAGU